CCGUUAUGCUUUGCCUGCCCCCGCGUGGAGCGGCGCACGCUCAAAUUUGAAAUCUGGCACCUUCGGUGUCCGAGUUGUAAUUUGAAAAAGCUACUUUGGGGCUAGUCCUUGUCUAUGUUCCUUGGAACAGGACGUCAUGGAGGGUGAGAAUCCCGUAUGGCGAGGAGUCUAGUCCUAUGUAAAGUGCUUUCGACGAGUCGAGUUGUUUGGGAAUGCAGCUCUAAGUGGGUGGUAAAUUCCAUCUAAAGCUAAAUAUUGGCGAGAGACCGAUAGCGAACAAGUACAGUGAUGGAAAGAUGAAAAGAACUUUGAAAAGAGAGUGAAAAAGUACGUGAAAUUGUUGAAAGGGAAGGGCAUUUGAUCAGACAUGGUGUUUUGCGACCCUCGCUCCUUGUGGGUGGGGAUCUCGCAGCUCACUGGGCCAACAUCAGUUUUGGCGGUAGGAUAAAUCUUUGGGAACGUGGCUUGUCUUCGGAGAAGCGUUAUAGCCCAGGGGAAUACUGCCAGCCGGGACUGAGGACUGCGACUUUUGUCAAGGAUGUUGGCAUAAUGGUUAAAUGCCGCCCGUCUUGAAACACGGACCGAUA
This 587-nucleotide ribosomal RNA is filed under the name Lachancea thermotolerans. RNAcentral's name for it is "eukaryotic LSU rRNA". It matches the Rfam family "Eukaryotic large subunit ribosomal RNA", at positions 78 to 671 of the family's 3401-position model. The record is from RNAcentral. Lineage: Eukaryota; Fungi; Ascomycota; Saccharomycetes; Saccharomycetales; Saccharomycetaceae.